RNAcentral lists this ribosomal RNA (815 nucleotides) under uncultured bacterium. Its description in RNAcentral is "bacterial SSU rRNA". It matches the Rfam family "Bacterial small subunit ribosomal RNA", at positions 8 to 815 of the family's 1533-position model. The record is from RNAcentral.
AGAGUUUGAUCCUGGCUCAGGAUGAACGCUAGCGACAGGCUUAACACAUGCAAGUCGAGGGGCAGCAUGAAGUUACUUCGGUAACUUUGGUGGCGACCGGCGCACGGGUGCGUAACGCGUAUGCAACCUACCCAUAACUCUUGGAUAGCCCAUGGAAACGUGGAUUAAUACAGGAUGGUCUAUGAAAAUUGCAUGAUUUUCAUAGUAAAGAAUUUCGGUUAUGGAUGGGCAUGCGUUCCAUUAGGUAGUAGGUGAGGUAACGGCUCACCUAGCCCAUGAUGGAUAGGGGUUCUGAGAGGAAGGUCCCCACAUUGGAACUGAGACACGGUCCAAACUCCAACGGGAGGCAGCAGUGAGGAAUAUUGGUCAAUGGCCUGAGGGCUGAACCAGCCAAGUCGCGUGAGGGAUGACUGCCCUAUGGGUUGUAAACCUCUUUUGUUUGGGAAGAAUAAGAUUUACGUGUAGAUUGAUGCCGGUACCAAACGAAUAAGCAUCGGCUAACUCCGUGCCAGCAGCCGCGGUAAUACGGGGGAUGCGAGCGUUAUCCGGAUUUAUUGGGUUUAAAGGGUGCGUAGGCGGUAGAUUAAGUUAGUGGUCAAAUCGAGAGGCUUAACCUCUUUCAGCCAUUAAUACUGGUCAACUAGAGUGUGGACGAGGUAGGCGGAAUAAGUCAAGUAGCGGUGAAAUGCUUAGAUAUGACUUAGAACUCCGAUAGCGAAGGCAGCUUACCAGGCCAUAACUGACGCUGAAGCACGAGAGCGUGGGUAGCGAACAGGAUUAGAUACCCUGGUAGUCCACGCCGUAAACGAUGCUCA